Molecule: ribosomal RNA, 1476 nt
Filed under: uncultured prokaryote
Description: partial 16S ribosomal RNA
Rfam family: Bacterial small subunit ribosomal RNA
Source: RNAcentral
GGCGUGCCUAACACAUGCAAGUCGGACGAGAAAACGUGCCUUCGGGUGCGUGAGUAAAGUGGCGCACGGGUGAGUAACGCGUGAGUAACCUGCCCUGCUUGUUCAGGAUAACGUCGGGAAACUGGCGCUAAUACUGAAUGAAGUCCGAGGCCGCAAGGCGUGCUCGGACCAAAGGAGGCCUCUGGGACGAAAUGUUCUGGCGCUCCAGGAUGGGCCCGCGUCCCAUUAGCUUGUUGGUAGGGUAACGGCCUACCAAGGCGACGAUGGGUAGCCGGCCUGAGAGGGUGAACGGCCACACUGGGACUGAGAUACGGCCCAGACUCCUACGGGAGGCAGCAGUGGGGAAUAUUGCGCAAUGGGCGAAAGCCUGACGCAGCAACGCCGCGUGGAGGAUGAAGGUUUUCGGAUUGUAAACUCCUUUCAGUAGGGACGAAGCCUCGGGCGGGUGAACGAAUCUCUCUGUCUGACUGUACCACCAGAGGAAGCCCCGGCUAACUCCGUGCCAGCAGCCGCGGUAAUACGGAGGGUGCAAGCGUUGUUCGGAUUCACUGGGUAUAAAGGGUGCGCAGGCGGUCCGUUAAGUCUGAUGUGAAAGCCCUGGGCUCAACUCAGGAACUGCAUUGGAAACUGGCGGGCUUUAGAGUACCGGAGAGGGAAGCGGAAUUCCCAGUGUAGCGGUGAAAUGCGUAGAUACUGGGAGGAACACCGGUGGCGAAGGCGGCUUCCUGGCCGAGUACUGACGCUCAUACACGAAAGCGUGGGGAGCGAACGGGAUUAGAUACCCCGGUAGUCCACGCUGUAAACGAUGGGUACUAGGUGUUGGAGGUAUCGACCCCUUCAGUGCCGCAGUUAACGCACUAAGUACCCCGCCUGGGGAGUACGUUCGCAAGAAUGAAACUCAAAGGAAUUGACGGGGGCCCGCACAAGCGGUGGAGCAUGUGGUUUAAUUCGACGCAACGCGAAGAACCUUACCUGGGUUUGAACUGCAGGGGACAGCCUUAGAAAUAAGGUCUUCCUUCGGGAUCGCGAUACAGGUGCUGCAUGGCUGUCGUCAGCUCGUGUCGUGAGAUGUUGGGUUAAGUCCCGCAACGAGCGCAACCCCUACCUUUAGUUGCCAGCGGGUAAUGCCGGGAACUCUAAAGGAACUGUCGGUGACAAACCGGAGGAAGGUGAGGAUGACGUCAAGUCCUCAUGGCCUUUAUGUCCAGGGCUACACACGUGCUACAAUGGUCGGUACAAAGGGCAGCGAAGUCGCGAGGCGGAGCUAAUCCCAAAAAGCCGAUCUCAGUUCGGAUUGGAGUCUGCAACUCGACUCCAUGAAGGUGGAAUCGCUAGUAAUCGCGGAUCAGCACGCCGCGGUGAAUACGUUCCCGGGCCUUGUACACACCGCCCGUCACACCACGAAAGUUGAUUGUACUAGAAACCGCUGAGCUAACCCGUCAAGGGAGGCAGGCGUCUAAGGUAUGAUCAGCGAUU